GCCCGGAUGGCGGAACUGGUAGACGCAAGGGACUUAAAAUCCCUCGGUCGUAUGACUGUGAGAGUUCGAUUCUCUCUCUGGGCA
RNAcentral lists this transfer RNA (84 nucleotides) under Deltaproteobacteria bacterium. RNAcentral describes it as "tRNA-Leu". It matches the Rfam family "tRNA". Rfam says of the family: Transfer RNA (tRNA) molecules are approximately 80 nucleotides in length. Their secondary structure includes four short double-helical elements and three loops (D, anti-codon, and T loops). The record is from RNAcentral. Lineage: Bacteria; Pseudomonadati; Myxococcota; Myxococcia.